RNAcentral lists this unclassified non-coding RNA (266 nucleotides) under uncultured Mortierella. RNAcentral describes it as "sequence contains ITS1". The stretch from base 1 to 108 matches the Rfam family "5.8S ribosomal RNA", at positions 50 to 154 of the family's 154-position model. Lineage: Eukaryota; Fungi; Mortierellomycota; Mortierellomycetes; Mortierellales; Mortierellaceae. The record is from RNAcentral.
GAAAUGCGAUACGUAGUGUGAAUCGCAGGGAUCAGUGAAUCAUCGAAUCUUUGAACGCAUGUUGCGCUCUCGUGGUUACCCCCCGGGAGCACGUUUGCUUGAGUGCCGCUUCUUUUUCUCUCUUUACACAUAUAUAUAUAUAUGAUGUGUAAGAUACGGAUUUUGCUGCUGCUGCUGCUGCUACUGCUGUCAGUAGCGCGCACGUGCAGCAUGAUCUUAGAAAGAGAGCAGCUUCACAAUCAAAAAGAAGCACACACAACACAUCU